AUUGAACGCUGGCGGCAUGCUUUACACAUGCAAGUCGAACGGUAACAGGGAGCUUGCUCCGCUGACGAGUGGCGAACGGGUGAGUAAUGCAUCGGAACGUACCCAGUCGUGGGGGGAUAACGUAGCGAAAGUUACGCUAAUACCGCAUAUUCUGUGAGCAGGAAAGCAGGGGGAUCGCAAGACCUUGCGCUGAUUGAGCGGCCGAUAUCAGAUUAGCUAGUUGGUGAGGUAAAGGCUCACCAAGGCGACGAUCUGUAGCGGGUCUGAGAGGAUGAUCCGCCACACUGGAACUGAGACACGGUCCAGACUCCUACGGAGGCAGCAGUGGGAAUUUUGGACAAUGGGGGCAACCCUGAUCCAGCCAUGCCGCGUGAGUGAAGAAGGCCU
RNAcentral lists this ribosomal RNA (387 nucleotides) under uncultured bacterium. RNAcentral's name for it is "bacterial SSU rRNA". It matches the Rfam family "Bacterial small subunit ribosomal RNA", at positions 30 to 417 of the family's 1533-position model. The record is from RNAcentral.